CCUACGGGUGGCAGCAGUGAGGAAUAUUGGUCAAUGGGCGCGAGCCUGAACCAGCCAAGUAGCGUGAAGGAUGACUGCCCUACGGGUUGUAAACUUCUUUUAUAAAGGAAUAAAGUGAGGCACGUGUGCCUUUUCGUAGGUACUUUAUGAAUAAGGAUCGGCUAACUCCGUGCCAGCAGCCGCGGUAAUACGGAGGAUCCGAGCGUUAUCCGGAUUUAUUGGGUUUAAAGGGAUGGUAGAUGGGUUGUUAAGUAAGUUGUGAAAGUUUGCGGUGCAAACGGCAAAUAGCAAUUGAUACUGGCAGUCUUGAGUACAGUUGAGGUAGGCGGAAUUCGCGGUGUAGCGGUGAAAUGCUUAGAUAUCACGAAGAACUCCGAUUGCGAAGGCAGCUUACUAACCUGCCACUGACAUUGAUGCUCGAAAGUGUGGGUAUCAAACAGGAUUAGAUACCCCUGUAGGC
RNAcentral lists this ribosomal RNA (460 nucleotides) under uncultured bacterium. RNAcentral's name for it is "partial 16S ribosomal RNA". It matches the Rfam family "Bacterial small subunit ribosomal RNA", at positions 338 to 795 of the family's 1533-position model. The record is from RNAcentral.